Long non-coding RNA from Xenopus tropicalis (tropical clawed frog), 249 nucleotides. RefSeq lists it as uncharacterized. The transcript has 2 exons. The record is from RefSeq and is a predicted model, not a curated record. Lineage: Eukaryota; Metazoa; Chordata; Amphibia; Anura; Pipidae.
UAUUUUGAUUCUGGGGAGUCAUCAGGGGAGAGCAGUGACAGUGAUGAACAACUGAGCGAGGAGGGAGCCCCCUCCGAGCUAAUCUGGAUGAGCUCUCUGAGCUCACUGUUCUUUGUGUGAGGUAGGGAUAAUAUUACCUACUGUACCCAUUAUAUAUAUUACUGGCUCAUUUGUUGGGGAAUUGGUUAGUUCUUCUACAUUGAAUAAACUCACAUAUCAAAUUCUCUUCUUAUUUAUUAAUAUGGAAAA